RNAcentral lists this ribosomal RNA (484 nucleotides) under uncultured bacterium. Its description in RNAcentral is "partial 16S ribosomal RNA". It matches the Rfam family "Bacterial small subunit ribosomal RNA", at positions 30 to 507 of the family's 1533-position model. The record is from RNAcentral.
AUUGAACGCUCGCGGGAUGCUUUACACAUGCAAGUCGAACGGCAGCGCGGACUUCGGUCUGGCGGCGAGUGGCGAACGGGUGAGUAAUGUAUCGGAACGUGCCCAGUAGCGGGGGAUAACUACGCGAAAGCGUAGCUAAUACCGCAUACGCCCUACGGGGGAAAGCAGGGGAUCGUAAGACCUUGCACUAUUGGAGCUGCCGAUAUCGGAUUAGCUAGUUGGUGAGGUAACGGCUCACCAAGGCGACGAUCCGUAGCUGGUUUGAGAGGACGACCAGCCACACUGGGACUGAGACACGGCCCAGACUCCUACGGGAGGCAGCAGUGGGGAAUUUUGGACAAUGGGGGCAACCCUGAUCCAGCCAUCCCGCGUGUGCGAUGAAGGCCUUCGGGUUGUAAAGCACUUUUGGCAGGAAAGAAACGUCGCGGGCUAAUACCCCGUGGAACUGACGGUACCUGCAGAAUAAGCACCGGCUAACUACGUG